GCUACCUGCAGUCGAGCGGCAGCACGGUAGCAAUACUGGUGGCGAGCGGCGGACGGGUGAGGAAUACAUCGGAAUCUGCCUUAUUGUGGGGGAUAACGUAGGGAAACUUACGCUAAUACCGCAUAAGACCGUAAGGUGAAAGUGGGGGACCGCAAGGCCUCACGCGAUAAGAUGAGCCGAUGUCGGAUUAGCUAGUUGGUGAGGUAAUGGCUCACCAAGGCGACGAUCCGUAGCUGGUCUGAGAGGAUGAUCAGCCACACUGGAACUGAGACACGGUCCAGACUCCUACGGGAGGCAGCAGUGGGGAAUAUUGGACAAUGGGCGCAAGCCUGAUCCAGCCAUGCCGCGUGGGUGAAGAAGGCCUUCGGGUUGUAAAGCCCUUUUGUUGGGGAAGAAAUCGUACGGUUGAAUAUUCCGUGCGGAUGACGGUACCCAAAGAAUAAGCACCGGCUAACUUCGUGCCAGCAGCCGCGGUAAUACGAAGGGUGCAAGCGUUACUCGGAAUUACUGGGCGUAAAGCCUGCGUAGGCGGUUUGUUAAGUCUGUCGUGAAAGCCCUGGGCUCAACCUGGGAAUUGCCAUCGGAUACUGGCAAGCUAGACUACGGUAUAGGAUGGUGGAAUUCCCGGUGUAGCGGUCAAAUGCCUAUAGAUCGUGAGGAACACCCGUGGCGAAUGCGGCCAUCCUCCACCAUUAUUGACGCUCAGUCACGAAACCUUGGAUC
RNAcentral lists this ribosomal RNA (723 nucleotides) under uncultured bacterium. Its description in RNAcentral is "bacterial SSU rRNA". It matches the Rfam family "Bacterial small subunit ribosomal RNA", at positions 50 to 767 of the family's 1533-position model. The record is from RNAcentral.